UAGGGAAUCUUCCGCAAUGGACGAAAGUCUGACGGAGCAACGCCGCGUGAGUGAUGAAGGUUUUCGGAACGUAAAGCUCUGUUGUUAGGCAAGAACAAGUGCCGUUCGAUUAGGGCGGUACCUUGACGGUACCUAACCAGAAAGCCACGGCUAACUACGUGCCAGCAGCCGCGGUAAUACGUAGGUGGCGAGCGUUGUCCGGAAUUAUUGGGCGUAAAGGGCUCGCAGGCGGUUUCUUCAGUCUGAUGUGAAAGCCCCCGGCUCAACCGGGGAGGGUCAUUGGAAACUGGGGAACUUGAGUGCAGAAGAGGAGAGUGGAAUUCCACGUGUAGCGGUGAAAUGCGUAGAGAUGUGGAGGAACACCAGUGGCGAAGGCGACUCUCUGGUCUGUAACUGACGCUGAGGAGCGAAAGCGUGGGGAGCGAACAGGAUUAGAUACCCUGGUAGUCCACGCCGUAAACGAUGAGUGCUAAGUGUUAGGGGGUUUCCGCCCCUUAGUGCUGCAGCUAACGCAUUAAGCACUCCGCCUGGGGAGUACGGUCGCAAGACUGAAACUCAAAGGAAUUGACGGGGGCCCGCACAAGCGGUGGAGCAUGUGGUUUAAUUCGAA
RNAcentral lists this ribosomal RNA (610 nucleotides) under uncultured Bacillus sp. RNAcentral's name for it is "bacterial SSU rRNA". It matches the Rfam family "Bacterial small subunit ribosomal RNA", at positions 355 to 955 of the family's 1533-position model. The record is from RNAcentral. Lineage: Bacteria; Bacillati; Bacillota; Bacilli; Caryophanales; Bacillaceae.